RNAcentral lists this long non-coding RNA (549 nucleotides) under Brassica rapa (field mustard). RNAcentral's name for it is "long non-coding RNA (BRAP_LNC006744)". Lineage: Eukaryota; Viridiplantae; Streptophyta; Magnoliopsida; Brassicales; Brassicaceae. The record is from RNAcentral.
AAAAACACUUAACUAAUCCCAAAAACCAAGAAACAAACCAUGUAAAAUAUCUUAUAUUCUCACAUGUACACGCAAUUUAUCUGAAUGGCAGAUUUCUAACCCGACGUACCAUCCGACCACGUCUAUGAGCGGAAACUUAUUUCAAUUAAUUCUAUUUCUGUUAUAUCAUUACUUUGGUUAACAAAAUUGUCUGUGAAAAUUUUAUUUUUAUUUAUUAACAACAAAUAUUUUAAUAUUUAAAAAAUUAAAAACAUUAAGUUAACAUUAUAAUAUUAUUUUUGUCGGCAUUAUAAUAAAAUUUAAAAAAAGAAACAAAAUUAGAAAAUGAGCAAUGUCCAAUAUUACAACAAAAAAAAACGUUGAGUAUUGUCAGUAGUCAAAAAAAUUAAAAAAGUUCCAAAACAAUAAACGAAGCUCAAUGGAAAGAUUCCGUGCUUGGUUCACACUAGACCCACAGAGACACAAGAAACGAUACGAUUUGUUGGUGAAACAAACUUAAAGUUGAUACAUGAAAUUAACUUAAAGAUUGAGUGCGUAUCAAGCUUCUCU